RNAcentral lists this ribosomal RNA (253 nucleotides) under uncultured bacterium. RNAcentral's name for it is "partial 16S ribosomal RNA". It matches the Rfam family "Bacterial small subunit ribosomal RNA", at positions 524 to 776 of the family's 1533-position model. The record is from RNAcentral.
UACAGAGGUGGCAAGCGUUGUUCGGAAUUACUGGGCGUAAAGGGCGCGUAGGCGGGCGGGCAAGUCAGGGGUGAAAUCCCACGGCUCAACCGUGGAAGUGCCUUUGAUACUGCCGGUCUGGAGGGAGGUAGGGGCGUGCGGAACCUCCGGUGGAGCGGUGAAAUGCGUAGAUAUCGGAAGGAACACCGGUGGCGAAGGCGGGUUGCUGGGCCGACACUGACGCUGAUGCGCGAAAGCCAGGGGAGCGAACGGG